GACGAACGCUGGCGGCGUGCCUAAUACAUGCAAGUUGAGCGCUGAAGGUUGGUACUUGUACCAACUGGAUGAGCAGCGAACGGGUGAGUAACGCGUGGGGAAUCUGCCUUUGAGCGGGGGACAACAUUUGGAAACGAAUGCUAAUACCGCAUAAAAACUUUAAACACAAGUUUUAAGUUUGAAAGAUGCAAUUGCAUCACUCAAAGAUGAUCCCGCGUUGUAUUAGCUAGUUGGUAAGGUAAAGGCUCACCAAGGCGAUGAUACAUAGCCGACCUGAGAGGGUGAUCGGCCACAUUGGGACUGAGACACGGCCCAAACUCCUACGGGAGGCAGCAGUAGGGAAUCUUCGGCAAUGGACGAAAGUCUGACCGAGCAACGCCGCGGGAGUGAAGAAGGUUUUCGGAUCGUAAAACUCUGUUGGUAGAGAAGAACGUUGGUGAGAGUGGAAAGCUCAUCAAGUGACGGUAACUACCCAGAAAGGGACGGCUAACUACGUG
Molecule: ribosomal RNA, 497 nt
Filed under: uncultured bacterium
Lineage: Bacteria
Description: partial 16S ribosomal RNA
Rfam family: Bacterial small subunit ribosomal RNA
Source: RNAcentral